This 446-nucleotide ribosomal RNA is filed under the name uncultured bacterium. Its description in RNAcentral is "partial 16S ribosomal RNA". It matches the Rfam family "Bacterial small subunit ribosomal RNA", at positions 338 to 795 of the family's 1533-position model. The record is from RNAcentral.
CCUACGGGUGGCAGCAGUCGAGAAUCAUUCACAAUGGGGGAAACCCUGAUGGUGCGACGCCGCGUGGGGGAAUGAAGGUCUUCGGAUUGUAAACCCCUGUCAUGUGGGGGCAAAUUAAAAAGAUAGUACCACAAGAGGAAGAGACGGCUAACUCUGUGCCAGCAGCCGCGGUAAUACAGAGGUCUCAAGCGUUGUUCGGAAUCACUGGGCGUAAAGCGUGCGUAGGCUGUUUCGUAAGUCGUGUGUGAAAGGCGCGGGCUCAACCCGCGGACGGCAGAUGAUACUGCGAGACUAGAGUAAGGGAGGGGGAACCGGAAUUCUCGGUGUAGCAGUGAAAUGCGUAGAUAUCGAGAGGAACACUCGUGGCGAAGGCGGGUUCCUGGACAUUAACUGACGCUGAGGCACGAAGGCCAGGGGAGCGAAAGGGAUUAGAUACCCUAGUAGUC